UACAGAGGUCUCGAGCGUUAGGCGGAAUCACUGGGCUUAAAGCGUGUGUAGGCGGAUCGUUAAGUGCCUUGUGAAAUCCCACGGCUCAACCGUGGAACUGCUUGGCAUACUGGCGGUCUUGAGCAACCUAGGGGCGAGCGGAACAAAUGGUGGAGCGGUGAAAUGCGUAGAUAUCAGGAGGAACACCGAUGGCGAAGGCAGGUCUCUGGGCAUUAACUGACGCUGAGGAGCGAAAGCAUGGGGAGCGAACAGG
This 253-nucleotide ribosomal RNA is filed under the name uncultured bacterium. RNAcentral's name for it is "partial 16S ribosomal RNA". It matches the Rfam family "Bacterial small subunit ribosomal RNA", at positions 524 to 776 of the family's 1533-position model. The record is from RNAcentral.